UUGGAGGAUUUGAAGACUUCAACUUGUUUACUUGGAGGAUUUGAAGACUUCAACUUGCAUACUUGGAGGAUUUAUAGACUUCUACC
RNAcentral lists this microRNA precursor (86 nucleotides) under Solanum tuberosum (potato). RNAcentral describes it as "MIR8024 microRNA precursor family". It matches the Rfam family "MIR8024 microRNA precursor family". The record is from Rfam by way of RNAcentral. Lineage: Eukaryota; Viridiplantae; Streptophyta; Magnoliopsida; Solanales; Solanaceae.